RNAcentral lists this non-coding RNA (148 nucleotides) under Nomascus leucogenys (northern white-cheeked gibbon). Lineage: Eukaryota; Metazoa; Chordata; Mammalia; Primates; Hylobatidae. The record is from Rfam by way of RNAcentral.
GCCAGAUGUGGUGGCGCGCACCUGUAGUCCCAGCUACUUGGACAGCUGAGGCAGGAGGAUCACUUGAACCCAGGAGGUUGAGGCUGCAGUGAGCAGAGGUGGUGCCACUGCACUCCAGCCUGGGUGACAAAGUGAGACCCUGUCUCAA